Small nucleolar RNA from Scomber japonicus (chub mackerel), 134 nucleotides. RefSeq annotates it as small nucleolar RNA SNORA68. Lineage: Eukaryota; Metazoa; Chordata; Actinopteri; Scombriformes; Scombridae. The transcript has a single exon. The record is from RefSeq and is a predicted model, not a curated record.
UUUGCACCCGAACCCAAAGAUCACGUCUCUGCAGCGGUGUGAUUUUUAUCCGGCGUGCAGACAGAAAGUUUGAGCCUUGUCGCCUUUCUCUGACCUGUUAGUGUCUCUGAAAGUGAAAUCAAGGUUCAACAAUU